UAGGUUAACGAGGCGAACCGGGGGAACUGAAACAUCUAAGUACCCCGAGGAAAAGAAAUCAACCGAGAUUCCCCCAGUAGCGGCGAGCGAACGGGGAGCAGCCCAGAGUCUGAAUCAGCUUGUGUGUUAGUGGAACGGUCUGGAAAGUCCGACGGUACAGGGUGAUAGUCCCGUACACCAAAAUGCACAGGCUGUGAACUCGAAGAGUAGGGCGGGACACGUGGUAUCCUGUCUGAAUAUGGGGGGACCAUCCUCCAAGGCUAAAUACUCCUGACUGACCGAUAGUGAACCAGUACCGUGAGGGAAAGGCGAAAAGAACCCCGGCGAGGGGAGUGAAAAAGAACCUGAAACCGUGUACGUACAAGCAGUGGGAGCACCUUCGGGUGUGACUGCGUACCUUUUGUAUAAUGGGUCAGCGACUUAUAUUCUGUAGCAAGGUUAACCGUAUAGGGGAGCCGCAGGGAAACCGAGUCUUAACUGGGCGUUAAGUUGCAGGGUAUAGACCCGAAACCCGGUGAUCUAGCCAUGGGCAGGUUGAAGGUUGGGUAACACUAACUGGAGGACCGAACCGACUAAUGUUGAAAAAUUAGCGGAUGACUUGUGGCUGGGGGUGAAAGGCCAAUCAAACCGGGAGAUAGCUGGUUCUCCCCGAAAGCUAUUUAGGUAGCGCCUCGUGAAUUCAUCUUCGGGGGUAGAGCACUGUUUCGGCUAGGGGGUCAUCCCGACUUACCAACCCGAUGCAAACUACGAAUACCGAAGAAUGUUAUCACGGGAGACACACGGCGGGUGCUAACGUCCGUCGUGAAGAGGGAAACAACCCAGACCGCCAGCUAAGGUCCCAAAGUCAUGGUUAAGUGGGAAACGAUGUGGGAAGGCACAGACAGCCAGGAUGUUGGCUUAGAAGCAGCCAUCAUUUAAAGAAAGCGUAAUAGCUCACUGGUCGAGUCGGCCUGCGCGGAAGAUGUAACGGGGCUAAACCAUGCACCGAAGCUGCGGCAGCGACACUAUGUGUUGUUGGGUAGGGGAGCGUUCUGUAAGCCUGCGAAGGUGACCUGUGAGGG
RNAcentral lists this ribosomal RNA (1061 nucleotides) under Klebsiella pneumoniae. RNAcentral describes it as "partial 23S ribosomal RNA". It matches the Rfam family "Bacterial large subunit ribosomal RNA", at positions 167 to 1269 of the family's 2925-position model. Lineage: Bacteria; Pseudomonadati; Pseudomonadota; Gammaproteobacteria; Enterobacterales; Enterobacteriaceae. The record is from RNAcentral.